ACCUGAAUUCAGCUGCAUCAAAACCAAUAUGUUCCAGUUACGUUUGCAUCAGACUUUCUCGGCUAGGAGCUGUGGAAUAAAUCAGGAAUGUAACUUAGGAAAGAGUGCAUUUGUGACCACAGAAUGCCUUGAAGAUCAGGAAACAUGAAUUCUUCCUGGCAAAUAUGGAUCUAGAUUAGUGAUGCCAAUCUCCAUUGACUUCAUCUGGAUGCUUAGUGCUCCUGAAACUUGGCCAUUCCUGCCUCCAGGCAGUGUUACUCUGGUGCUGAUUCCACUUCACAGGUCUAAUCAUCGUGUACGGCGAGAAAAUAAUAUUACUUUAUGAUGGUAUGAUAAUGGCUAAUACUGAGAUGUGUUACUCUCUACAGGUAAAACAUCUGCAUUAUCUUGAUGCAGCACAAUUAUUUCCAUGUUGUUAGAUUAUAUCUGAGUAGAUACCUGGACUGGCUUUUGUUAUAGAAAGCACAAAUAAUACCGUUUAUAUUACUUUGUGUGUCUCUUUUCCUGCUUAAAAUAAAUAGUAAAUUACUUUCAAGAGAUCAUGAAAAAUGUUGCCCCUCAAGAAAUAUAUCCCAGAAUAUCUCUGUCUUGUC
This is a non-coding RNA of Meleagris gallopavo (turkey), 593 nucleotides long. The record is from RefSeq and is a predicted model, not a curated record. NCBI's taxonomy places the organism in Eukaryota, Metazoa, Chordata, Aves, Galliformes, Phasianidae.